Molecule: long non-coding RNA, 414 nt
Filed under: Homo sapiens (human)
Lineage: Eukaryota; Metazoa; Chordata; Mammalia; Primates; Hominidae
Description: TIRAP antisense RNA 1, transcript variant 3 (TIRAP-AS1)
Source: RNAcentral
CACUGCUUCCCGCAUCCCACCUCAGGGUUGCCUCCUGGUACCUUCCCGUGUAGGAAAAUGAUUUUGUCCCGCGCAGACUCCCUCAGCACCUUCUGCAGUCUGAAGCCGGAGAACGUCAUCUGCCAGAAGAAAAAUGGUGAUUCUUCCCAGUCCAAAGGUGAAGAUGGUGACUGUGAAAGUAUCAGCUUUAGCCAGACCACUGAUGAAGCUCCCAGAUGUCACAGCAUCCAUGGGCUUGUGAUCUCAGGUGAAGGCAUUGAACCCUGAGCCCUGGAUUCCCAUCUCUUCACUUGCUCCCUCCACCACCCCACCCCCAUAUUCAGAAUGGCCUCUAGGCUUCUAGGUUUGUGUCUUUAAUGGCACCUAGGCAAUAAAUAAAAAAUACAGUGCAGUGCUGACUGCAUCUUCCCUACA